GCCCGGAUGGUGGAAUUGGUAGACACAAGGGAUUUAAAAUCCCUCGGCGUUCGCGCUGUGUGGGUUCAAGUCCCACUCCGGGUACCA
This 87-nucleotide transfer RNA is filed under the name Klebsiella pneumoniae. RNAcentral describes it as "tRNA-Leu". It matches the Rfam family "tRNA". From Rfam's summary of the family: Transfer RNA (tRNA) molecules are approximately 80 nucleotides in length. RNAcentral also lists the same sequence under 1 other name. The record is from RNAcentral. Lineage: Bacteria; Pseudomonadati; Pseudomonadota; Gammaproteobacteria; Enterobacterales; Enterobacteriaceae.